UGGCGAACGGGUGAGUAACACGUGGGUAAUCUGCCCUGCACUCUGGGAUAAGCCUGGGAAACUGGGUCUAAUACUGGAUAUGACCUUUCUCCUUAUGGGGUUUGGUGGAAAGUUUUUCGGUGUAGGAUGAGCCCGCGGCCUAUCAGCUUGUUGGUGGGGUGAUGGCCUACCAAGGCGACGACGGGUAGCCGGCCUGAGAGGGUGAUCGGCCACAUUGGGACUGAGAUACGGCCCAGACUCCUACGGGAGGCAGCAGCC
This 258-nucleotide ribosomal RNA is filed under the name uncultured Mycobacterium sp. RNAcentral describes it as "partial 16S ribosomal RNA". It matches the Rfam family "Bacterial small subunit ribosomal RNA", at positions 96 to 355 of the family's 1533-position model. The record is from RNAcentral. Lineage: Bacteria; Bacillati; Actinomycetota; Actinomycetes; Mycobacteriales; Mycobacteriaceae.